CCUAUCUGCCGUGGGCGUUGGAAGAUUGAAGGGGGCUGCUCCUAGUACGAGAGGACCGGAGUGGACGAACCUCUGGUGUUCGGGUUGUGUCGCCAGACGCAUUGCCCGGUAGCUAAGUUCGGAAUCGAUAACCGCUGAAAGCAUCUAAGCGGGAAGCGAGCCCUGAGAUGAGUCUUCCCUGAUACUUUAAGUAUCCUAAAGGGUUGUCGGAGACUACGACGUUGAUAGGUCAGGUGUGUAAGUGCUGUGAGGCAUUGAGCUAACUGAUACUAAUUGC
RNAcentral lists this ribosomal RNA (277 nucleotides) under Vibrio parahaemolyticus. RNAcentral describes it as "partial 23S ribosomal RNA". It matches the Rfam family "Bacterial large subunit ribosomal RNA", at positions 2637 to 2908 of the family's 2925-position model. The record is from RNAcentral. Lineage: Bacteria; Pseudomonadati; Pseudomonadota; Gammaproteobacteria; Vibrionales; Vibrionaceae.